This 374-nucleotide ribosomal RNA is filed under the name uncultured bacterium. Its description in RNAcentral is "bacterial SSU rRNA". It matches the Rfam family "Bacterial small subunit ribosomal RNA", at positions 521 to 896 of the family's 1533-position model. The record is from RNAcentral.
UAAUACGGAGGGUGCGAGCGUUAUCCGGAAUCACUGGGUUUAAAGGGUGCGCAGGCGGCGCGGUAAGUCAGUUGUGAAAUCCCCCGGCUCAACCGGUGGGACUGCGAUUGAUACUGUCGCGCUUGAAUCGGGUUGAGGCAGGCGGAAUGUGGCAUGUAGCGGUGAAAUGCUUAGAUAUGCCAUAGAACACCGAUUGCGAAGGCAGCUUGCUGGGCCCGUAUUGACGCUGAGGCACGAAAGCGUGGGGAGCAAACAGGAUUAGAUACCCUGGUAGUCCACGCCCUAAACGAUGCUCACUUGCUGUUUGCCCCUUGGGGUGAGUGGCGUAGCGAAAGCGAUAAGUGAGCCACCUGGGGAGUACGCCGGCAACGGUG